RNAcentral lists this ribosomal RNA (301 nucleotides) under uncultured bacterium. RNAcentral describes it as "partial 16S ribosomal RNA". It matches the Rfam family "Bacterial small subunit ribosomal RNA", at positions 509 to 807 of the family's 1533-position model. The record is from RNAcentral.
CAGUCGCCGCGGUAAUACGUAGGUGGCAAGCGUUGUCCGGAAUUAUUGGGCGUAAAGGGCUCGCAGGCGGUUUCUUAAGUCUGAUGUGAAAGCCCCCGGCUCAACCGGGGAGGGUCGUUGGAAACUGGGAAACUUGAGUGCAGAAGAGGAGAGUGGAAUUCCACGUGUAGCGGUGAAAUGCGUAGAGAUGUGGAGGAACUCCAGUGGCGAAGGCGACUCUCUGGUCUGUAACUGACGCUGAGGAGCGAAAGCGUGGGGAGCGAACAGGAUUAGAUACCCGAGUAGUCCCUGUCUCUUAUAC